UUUGGUCAUUCCUAACACAUGCAUAAAUGCCUUAUAUCAUAUGAUGCUGUACUUAAUAUAAGGUCAGACACCUUUGGUCAUUCCUAACACAUGCAUAAUGCCUUAAUGAUGUUAACACAACUGUAUUAACACUUAGGGAAUUGGCAUUAAAUGAUAAAACAAGAAAACAUUAAAGAAAUGUUUAAACCAUACAGUACAUUUAUUUUAUUUGUACAUUUUUAAAACAAUACAAAUACAUGACAUUUCAAACAGUCCAGCAGUGCAGUUACAUUGACCAUUACACAGGGCUGUGAAUAGUCCAGCUUGUCCCUGAGCUGGCAGGAAAACGGUUCUUGGGUGUUACUGGGUGUUGGUUCCAACCUAAAUGAACAACAAAGUUAGCAGGUCUGUUAGGAAAGGUUGUUUGUCACACCAUCUAGAUAAGGGCAUUUCUGUGCUGCACAAGAAACUCUAAACGGGAAGAUGGGAAACUCCAUUAAAUUCGUAUUGUUACAAUACAGCUAUGAGACAUGUAUGUGUGUAGGGGAUAUAUAUGUAUUUAGCUGAGCCUGCUAGCUAACAACAUUUUGUCUAGCUAGUAAUUGCUGUGAAGUCACCGAAAUGAUUUGAAAUAAUGAUUGAGGUAGCUACAGUAUGUAAUCUAACUCAACACUUAACUACUACCAACACAUUUAAAUCACAAUAAAUAAAGGUGAACUUACUUGUUUUUGGAUUUGAGAACUCAUCACAUCAUCUGUGUCUCAUCAGCAACACUAAAAAAGUACUUCCGUGUCACAGAAUUUUGGAAAUGUUCCAAAUAAAGUCCCCCAUGUAAUAGCAGAAAAGUCUCAAAAACCAUUCAUGAUAUAUGAAAAAUAAUUGUCUAAACAUUAAACAUAGAUUUUUAAGUGACAUUUGCAUUACAUUUGGGUUUUAAAAAAUGUUCCAAGGUCAAAUAAAUGCUCCCAAUGCAAAUCACCAUAUAUAGAAUACAUAUUGGCUUAGAGCAAUAACUAUUCUGGGUGCAGCAGUACAAGUAUUGCAGGGAAUACUCAAUAGGGUCUGUAGAAUGAAUGUACAGUGGGGAGAACAAGUAUUUGAUACACUGCCGAUUUUGCAGGUUUUCCUACUUACAAAGCAUGUAGAGGUCUGUAAUUUUUUAUCAAAGGUACACUUCAACUGUGAGAGAUGGAAUCUAAAACAAAAAUCCAGAAAAUCACAUUGUAUGAUUUUUAAGUAAUUAAUUUGCAUCUUAUUGCAUGACAUAAUUAUUUGAUACAUCAGAAAACUGUAUAUAUGGUGUCAUUUCAUGGGGCUCAAAAUAAUACGGAAUGUGGCCGGCCUUUUACUCCACUCAUUCCAUUGGCGGCCAGAUCACAUCAUGUGUGCUUACUGCACUACAGAAAGCCUGCUAACAAAACAAAAGUGCAGAGCAUGCUCACUGAAUUAAAGAGCAACUACACUUACAAAUAUAUGUUUCUUAGAUUUUUCACAGACCUCAAAAGUCUGAUGUGGUUUAAGAAUUGUUGUGAACACAGAAAAUGAAAUGUUGUUUUUCUAUUAAGAAAGUGAGAAAACACUGGGGGAAAGCAGAAAGAAUGGGGAAAAUCUGAAACCCGGAAAAACAAAACCAAGAAAACGGAAUUUGGCGUGGAAAAAGAAGUAGGCAACUACAACAAACAGACUAACGAUUGUAAAAGGCCCUACCAAGGUUUUUUGCUUUGCAUGACUGCACUUUAGAGUCUGUGUUCUCCUGCAGCACAGCGUUUUGGGGGAAGUUGAAGUCAAGUCCAAUAUUGACUAUGCACCCAAGAGGGAAAGAGGAUGGGCCAAUCUAGAAAUGUUUUAGUGAAAUAUAAUAUAUGACAUUUUGCAGACACUUUUAUCCAAAGCGACUUACAGUCAUACGUGAAUACAUUUUUACGUAUUAUAGGGUGUUGAAUCGAAUCGAACCCAAUAUCCUGCCGUUGCAAUGCUCUACCAAGAUGUAUGACAGGGUUAUAAAUACUUUGUGAAGCCACAAUUGAAUAUGAUUUAUAAGCUCUUUAUUAAGCGGUGCUCAUGCUACCCUUUAUAAAGCACAGGUUUGUAUCAUUUUCGACAUCGUGGGUUUUGUCCCCUUAGACAUUGGUGGUUAUGGCGAACAGUUAUGCCACAGUUAUGAACCCUUUAUAAAGCAUGGCAUACGAUUAUAGAUGGUGUGUAACACAUUUAUGUAGUGUUUAUGAAGGUUUUAGGAAGCCUUUAUAAGCUGCACGUCAUUUAAAGUGGGACCAAAUUCAUGAAUAAACUUAAUUCAUA
Molecule: long non-coding RNA, 2280 nt
Organism: Oncorhynchus tshawytscha (Chinook salmon)
Lineage: Eukaryota; Metazoa; Chordata; Actinopteri; Salmoniformes; Salmonidae
Source: Ensembl